Molecule: ribosomal RNA, 253 nt
Filed under: uncultured bacterium
Lineage: Bacteria
Description: partial 16S ribosomal RNA
Rfam family: Bacterial small subunit ribosomal RNA
Source: RNAcentral
UACGUAGGGUGCGAGCGUUAAUCGGAAUUACUGGGCGUAAAGCGUGCGCAGGCGGUUCGCCAAGUCAGGUGUGAAACCCCCGGGCUUAACCUGGGAAUUGCGCUUGAAACUAGCGGGCUUGAGUGCGGCAGAGGGGGGUGGAAUUCCACGUGUAGCAGUGAAAUGCGUAGAGAUGUGGAGGAACACCGAUGGCGAAGGCAGCCCCCUGGGUCGACACUGACGCUCAUGCACGAAAGCGUGGGGAGCAAACAGG